This 334-nucleotide unclassified non-coding RNA is filed under the name soil metagenome. RNAcentral's name for it is "partial contains 5.8S ribosomal RNA, internal transcribed spacer 2, and large subunit ribosomal RNA". The stretch from base 1 to 120 matches the Rfam family "5.8S ribosomal RNA", at positions 35 to 154 of the family's 154-position model. The record is from RNAcentral.
GAUGAAGAACGUAGCGAAAUGCGAUAAGUAAUGUGAAUUGCAGAAUUCAGUGAAUCAUCGAAUCUUUGAACGCACAUUGCGCCCGCCAGUAUUCUGGCGGGCAUGCCUGUUCGAGCGUCAUUUCAACCAUCAAGCCCCAGGCUUGUGUUGGAGCCCUGUGGCUGCCGCAGCCUCCCAAAACCAGUGGCGGGCUCGCUAUCACACCGAGUGCAGUAGUUUACUCUUCGCUCAGGGCGUGUGGCGGGUGCUAGCCGUAAAACCCCCAACUUCUCAAUGUUGACCUCGGAUCAGGUAGGAAUACCCGCUGAACUUAAGCAUAUCAAUAAGCGGAGGA